Poecilia reticulata (guppy) is the source of this 622-nucleotide non-coding RNA. The record is from RefSeq and is a predicted model, not a curated record. NCBI's taxonomy places the organism in Eukaryota, Metazoa, Chordata, Actinopteri, Cyprinodontiformes, Poeciliidae.
CGACUUCCCUUCAUCAAAACUCAACAUUUUUUAGCUCUAUAAAAUGUAACGUCACAAAUAUCUCAACUAAAGAAGUUCAGCUKUUCACCUUCAGCCACCAGUCAACAGAUCAGAAAACAGAUCAUAACACAGAUCAUGACACAGGUUUUCUGCAUGUAUUGUACGUACUGAGAUGUAUUGUUGUGUCUGUGGGUUUGGCGGCUCUCCUUACAUCAGUUAUUACAGUCAACAUGAAGACCAAAAACAAAACGCAGAGGCACAUGGAAGAUAAUGAAGAUAAAGUCAUGGAGGAAAACAGAGAGAAUCAUUCAGCUGCUGCCGUCAAACUCUGAUCAACAGGAAUCAGUUCAACUGAAGGAAACCAACUGUUGUUAGAUUUUAAAUAGAGGAAAACAGUUUCAUUAAAUAACUGCAGGCCUGUGAAGUGGGAUAAGAAUAUGUUUAUGAAUAAAUGAAUCAGUUGUUUUUGUUGUGAAGUGACCCAGCCAGUAGAGGGCGCUGUUGGACAUACAGCUCUCAUCACUCUUCUCAGAUUGAACGUCACAACCUCUGUGUAAGCUAUAUUUCAAGACAAAUUCACCUGUUUCAUAUGUUAAAUUACAUUUAUUUUUAUAUUCAUGAU